UGCCAGCCGCCGCGGUAAUACAGAGGGUGCAAACGUUGCUCGGAAUCAUUGGGCGUAAAGCGCGUGUAGGCGGUUUGGUUAGCGAACUGUGAAAGCCCUCGGCUCAACCGAGGAAGUGCAGUUCGAACUGCCAGACUAGAGUCCCGAAGAGGGUGGUGGAAUGCGCAGUGUAGAGGUGAAAUUCGUAGAUAUUGCGUAGAACACCUGUGGCGAAGGCGACCGCCUGGGAGGCGACUGACGCUGAGACGCGAAAGUGUGGGGAGCAAACAGGAUUAGAAA
Molecule: ribosomal RNA, 279 nt
Filed under: uncultured bacterium
Lineage: Bacteria
Description: partial 16S ribosomal RNA
Rfam family: Bacterial small subunit ribosomal RNA
Source: RNAcentral